Molecule: ribosomal RNA, 406 nt
Filed under: uncultured Salpingoecidae
Lineage: Eukaryota; Choanoflagellata; Craspedida; Salpingoecidae
Description: partial small subunit ribosomal RNA
Rfam family: Eukaryotic small subunit ribosomal RNA
Source: RNAcentral
GCUUGUCUCAAAGAUUAAGCCAUGCAUGUCUAAGUAUAAACGAUUUUAUACGUGAAACUGCGAAUGGCUCAUUAUAUCAGUUAUAGUUUAUUUGAUGGUCCUUACUAUUUGGAUAACCGUAGUAAUUCUAGAGCUAAUACAUGCGAAAAGACCCGACUUCUCGGAAGGGUUGCAUUUAUUAGAUACAAAACCAAUGCGGGGGCAACUCCGGUGUCUUGGUGAUUCAUAAUAACUUUUGCGGAUCGCAUGGCCUUGAGCCGGCGACGAAUCAUUCAAAUUUCUGCCCUAUCAACUUUCGAUGGUACGGUAUUGGCCUACCAUGGUUACCACGGGUAACGGGGAAUUAGGGUUCGGUUCCGGAGAGGGGGCCUGAGAAAUGGCCACCACAUCCAAGGAAGGCAGCAGG